Regulatory RNA element from Felis catus (domestic cat), 65 nucleotides. Lineage: Eukaryota; Metazoa; Chordata; Mammalia; Carnivora; Felidae. The record is from Rfam.
AGAAAGCCAUAAAGAAUCAGCUUUUAAGUGCCUUCCUGUAGUUUCCCGGGAGCGUGAGGACAGGU